Molecule: unclassified non-coding RNA, 529 nt
Filed under: Hevea brasiliensis (rubber tree)
Lineage: Eukaryota; Viridiplantae; Streptophyta; Magnoliopsida; Malpighiales; Euphorbiaceae
Source: RNAcentral
GCUUUGAUUGCCAUGUGUUGCAUUAUUGGCUAUUUAAUAUGCUUGUUGAAAUGUAGUUUUCAUGACACUUAUUCUUUGGUUAUAUAAUUAAUCUUUGAAAUUGAUAUAAGAUUUAGAUAUAAUUAUAUAAAUUUAAAAAGAUUUUGAUUUUUUUUUAUCGAUUAGCCCUCUUGGAAAAUGGUAUGGUUUCUUACAUCUCUAGUUUCUGCACACUUUACCAUAUCAUCUUGGAUGCCUGAACCUUUGCUGGGAACAUCUCUGCUCUUUGAUAGCUGAAAAGGUUUACGAAUCAACUGUUAACUAUACUAUCACCUGUGUAGCAUUCUAUGCUUAUGAUAUAAAAUAUCAGGAUUAACAUGUUCUUGGCAAAUCAAAACUAUACUUAUAUCAAUUUACACUCGAUCAGAAUUUUUGGCCUUAGUGUCAUCAGUGUCACAAUCCAAAGUGUUCUUGGGAAUUCUUACUUCAAGAAAUAUAUCAUUGUUCACAUAUGCCUGGAUUUUCUUCCAAUCUGCAUCUUCUGGGAGCU